This 834-nucleotide long non-coding RNA is filed under the name Phasianus colchicus (ring-necked pheasant). RNAcentral's name for it is "lncRNA (ENSPCLG00000017697.1)". Lineage: Eukaryota; Metazoa; Chordata; Aves; Galliformes; Phasianidae. The record is from RNAcentral.
GUCAUAUUUAUGGGGUCACACUUCUGGGUCACACUUAUGGGUCGCACUUAUGGGUGGCUGUUAUAGGGUCACACUUCUGGGUCACACUUAUGGGGUCACACUUAUGGGUUACACUUAUGGGGUCACACUUAUGGGGCCACACUUAUGGGGUCACACUUCUGGGUCACACUUAUGGGUCACACUUAUGGGUCACACUUAUGGGAUCUCACUUAUGGGGUCACACUUAUGGGGCCACACUUAUGGGGUCACACUUAUGGGGUGGCAUUUAUGGGGUCACACUUAUGGGUCACACUUAUGGGUCACACUUGUGGGUCACACUUGUGGGUCACACUUGUGGGACCGCCCUCCUUUUUAUUCCACCGGCCCCAUAAAAACUCCUCCAAAAUAAAUAACAGCAGCCCCCCCUUCCCUCCUCCGCUCCUCCUUCAAUUCCGCCACUUAAUUACCGCUCAUUAACUUCAGAAAUCAUUAAGAACCCCGUCGGAGAUCGCUAAUUACCGACCCCCCCCCCCCCCAUUAAAAACCCCACAGUUGCGUUUUGGGGUCGCUGCGCCUUAUGGGGUUUCUCCUUUCUCCUUAUGGGGGGGGGGCGGACGCGUUAAGGAGCGGGGUAAUUAAGGAAGGAGCGGGGUAAUUAAUGAAGGAGCGGGGUAANNNNNNNNNNNNNNNNNNNAUUAAGGACGCGGUCAGGCGAUGAAGCAGACGGGGCCGAAGGUCGCGGCGCCGCUGGGGUCGGACAGCGGGAACAGAUCCGGGCGGGGCGACCACAGCUCAUGGCUCUGCUGCCCCACUGCGGCCUGCGGGGCAACACGGCGGUCAGACGGGGGUCAGACG